Molecule: ribosomal RNA, 484 nt
Filed under: uncultured bacterium
Lineage: Bacteria
Description: partial 16S ribosomal RNA
Rfam family: Bacterial small subunit ribosomal RNA
Source: RNAcentral
AUUGAACGCUGGCGGCAGGCCUAACACAUGCAAGUCGAGCGGAUGAAGGGAGCUUGCUCCUGGAUUCAGCGGCGGACGGGUGAGUAAUGCCUAGGAAUCUGCCUGGUAGUGGGGGAUAACGUCCGGACACGGGCGCUAAUACCGCAUACGUCGUGAGGUAGAAAGUGGGGGAUCUUCGGACCUCACGCUAUCAGAUGAGCCUAGGUCGGAUUAGCUAGUUGGUGGGGUAAAGGCCUACCAAGGCGACGAUCCGUAGCUGGUCUGAGAGGAUGAUCAGUCACACUGGAACUGAGACACGGUCCAGACUCCUACGGGAGGCAGCAGUGGGGAAUAUUGGACAAUGGGCGAAAGCCUGAUCCAGCCAUGCCGCGUGUGUGAAGAAGGUCUUCGGAUUGUAAAGCACUUUAAGUUGGGAGGAAGGGCAGUAAGUUAAUACCUUGCUGUUUUGACGUUACCAACAGAAUAAGCACCGGCUAACUUCGUG